RNAcentral lists this ribosomal RNA (763 nucleotides) under uncultured Streptococcus sp. Its description in RNAcentral is "bacterial SSU rRNA". It matches the Rfam family "Bacterial small subunit ribosomal RNA", at positions 28 to 776 of the family's 1533-position model. Lineage: Bacteria; Bacillati; Bacillota; Bacilli; Lactobacillales; Streptococcaceae. The record is from RNAcentral.
GAUGAACGCUGGCGGCGUGCCUAAUACAUGCAAGUAGAACGCUGAAGGAGGAGCUUGCUUCUCUGGAUGAGUUGCGAACGGGUGAGUAACGCGUAGGUAACCUGCCUGGUAGCGGGGGAUAACUAUUGGAAACGAUAGCUAAUACCGCAUAAGAGCAGUUGUUGCAUGACAGCUGUUUAAAAGGUGCAAUUGCACCACUACCAGAUGGACCUGCGUUGUAUUAGCUAGUUGGUGAGGUAACGGCUCACCAAGGCGACGAUACAUAGCCGACCUGAGAGGGUGAUCGGCCACACUGGGACUGAGACACGGCCCAGACUCCUACGGGAGGCAGCAGUAGGGAAUCUUCGGCAAUGGGGGCAACCCUGACCGAGCAACGCCGCGUGAGUGAAGAAGGUUUUCGGAUCGUAAAGCUCUGUUGUAAGAGAAGAACGAGUGUGAGAGUGGAAAGUUCACACUGUGACGGUAUCUUACCAGAAAGGGACGGCUAACUACGUGCCAGCAGCCGCGGUAAUACGUAGGUCCCGAGCGUUAUCCGGAUUUAUUGGGCGUAAAGCGAGCGCAGGCGGUUAGAUAAGUCUGAAGUUAAAGGCUGUGGCUUAACCAUAGUACGUUUUGGAAACUGUUUAACUUGAGUGCAAGAGGGGAGAGUGGAAUUCCAUGUGUAGCGGUGAAAUGCGUAGAUAUAUGGAGGAACACCGGUGGCGAAAGCGGCUCUCUGGCUUGUAACUGACGCUGAGGCUCGAAAGCGUGGGGAGCAAACAGG